RNAcentral lists this ribosomal RNA (407 nucleotides) under uncultured bacterium. RNAcentral describes it as "partial 16S ribosomal RNA". It matches the Rfam family "Bacterial small subunit ribosomal RNA", at positions 30 to 526 of the family's 1533-position model. The record is from RNAcentral.
AUUGAACGCUGGCGGCAGGCCUAACACAUGCAAGUCGAGCGGAGCGGCGGACGGGUGAGUACUGCCUAGGAAUCUGCCUGGUAGUGGGGGAUAACGUCCGGAAACGGGCGCUAAUACCACAUACUAUCAGAUGAGCCUAGGUCGGAUUAGCUAGUUGGUGGGGUAAAGGCCUACCAAGGCGACGAUCCGUAACUGGUCGGAGAGGAUGAUCAGUCACACUGGGACUGAGACACGGCCCAGACUCCUACGGGAGGCAGCAGUGGGGAAUAUUGGACAAUGGACGAAAGUCUGAUCGAGCAAUGCCGCGUGAGUGAAGAAGGUUUUCGGAUUGUAAAACACUUUUGGUUGGGAAGCGUUACCAAACGAAAAAGCAACGGCUAACUUCGUGCCAGCCGCCGCGGUAAUUC